RNAcentral lists this ribosomal RNA (207 nucleotides) under uncultured bacterium. RNAcentral's name for it is "partial 16S ribosomal RNA". It matches the Rfam family "Bacterial small subunit ribosomal RNA", at positions 524 to 730 of the family's 1533-position model. The record is from RNAcentral.
UACGGGGGGGGCAAGCGUUGUUCGGAAUUACUGGGCGUAAAGGGCUCGUAGGCGGCCAACUAAGUCCGACGUGAAAUCCCCAGCUUAACCUGGGAACUGCGUCGGAUACUGGAUGGCUUGAAUUCGGGAGAGGGAUGCAGAAUUCCAGGUGUAGCGGUGAAAUGCGUAGAUAUCUGGAGGAAUCACCGGUGGCGAAGGCGGCAUCCU